AACUCACCAGGUCAGGACACGGUAAGGAUUGACGGACUGAAGGCUCUUCUCGAUUCCGUGGAAAGUGGUGCAUGGCCGUUUUGGUUGGUGGAUCGAUCCGUCUGGUUAAUUCCGUUAACGAACGAGACCUCGGCACUUCGAAUAGCGCGGCGGACGUCGCGGCCUCCGGGCCGUCUUCCGCACGAGCUUCUUAGAGGGACCGUCCCCCGCCGGGGAAGGAGGUGCGAGGCAACGACAGGUCUGUGAUGCCCUUAGAUGUUCUGGGCCGCACGCGCAUUACACUGACGCGUCCAACGGGUGACUCCCGACCCGAAGGGGCCGGGGAAUCCGCAAGGCGCGUCGUGAUGGGGAUUGAACGUUGCAAUUGUUGUUCACGAACGAGGAAUUCCUAGUAGGCGCGGGUCAUCAACCCGCGCCGAUUACGUCCCUGCCCUUUGUACACACC
Molecule: ribosomal RNA, 445 nt
Filed under: uncultured eukaryote
Lineage: Eukaryota
Description: bacterial SSU rRNA
Rfam family: Eukaryotic small subunit ribosomal RNA
Source: RNAcentral